GCAAAAGGGAUCUCAUAGCUCAAGAAUCUAAUGGUGAAGGGAAAGAGUAGAUAGAUGCCUCUUUCUUAUUUUCUAUCACAGACUUCAAUUCUAGACUCAGCCUUGUAUACAGUGUGACAUCACUUAAGGAAGAACCCUAGGUGUCUUCCCCAGGUCUGAGUUGAAGAGAGAAAUGACAUGGCUGGUAGGGACUACUAGAGUGAGGAUAUUUCCUAUCUUUCUACAGGCUGUCAACAAUCCAGAUGAGGAACAUGUGGCCUUUGUUGUGUUGAUUGAUAUUAUGCAGAACCAAUCUGAAGACAAUGGCUUGCCAAGCCAACCUGCUGCUCCCCGUGAAUCUUGGAAGACCCCAUUCAGGAGAACUUUGGAUUGUUUUACAAAAUGCUUUGGCUUCUCUUGAAAGGUAACAGAACAUAACAUUCUCAAGGAAAGAAGAAAAGUUUUGAAGCAUAACUGACCUUAACUUGACAAACUUGGAGGAAGACUCCAGAGAAUUCAUUUGAGGAAUUUUCAAAAUAUUCUAGAGUGACAAUGUAUUAUUACUUGCUACAUAAAAUUAUUAAAAGGCAUUUAACAACACUUAAUUAGAAGUCUAAGUGAACAUCACAACUUAAAAAAACUUUUAUCAAAGCCUAUGUCUCUCAACUCCACAAGAUAAAAAAGCCAAAACCAUAUGCCACCACAAUCAGCCGAGAGAGAGAGAGAGAGAGAGAGAGAGAGAGAGAGAUCCAGAAUGUUCUUAACAAUUCGGAGAAAUCCUUUGAAAAACCUGAUGAAAACCAUGAACAGUCUCUGCUAAAGAAUUCUUAGGCAUCCCACUGUAUUUUUCAGUUUCAUUGGUAAAUUCAAUCAAUAUAUGGUGAAAAUUGAUACUAAAGAUAGCCAAACUUUAUGAGAGAAUAGAGCAAAGAACAAUCCUAAUUCAUUUUAUGAGGCCAGCAUUAAUCUGGUAACAAACUUAACAAAGACAUUAAAAGAAAAUUACAUACCAAUAUCACUCAUUAGCAUAAAUGAAAAAAUAAUUAACAAAAUACUGUCAAGUUGAACCCAACAUUACAUUAAAAAGAUAACACUUUACAAACAAAUGAGGUAUAACUCAGAAUGUGGUUGACUUAAUGUUCAAAUAUUAAUCAAAAUGGAAAACUUUAGCUAGUAAAGGACUCUGUGAUGGGGACAAAAAUAAAAUUACAAGCUGGAAGGGAAGACUUGCA
This 1211-nucleotide long non-coding RNA is filed under the name Vulpes vulpes (red fox). RNAcentral describes it as "lncRNA (ENSVVUG00000015877.1)". The record is from RNAcentral. Lineage: Eukaryota; Metazoa; Chordata; Mammalia; Carnivora; Canidae.